CAGUCGCCGCGGGAAUACGAAGGGUGCAAGCGUUAAUCGGAAUUACUGGGCGUAAAGCGUGCGUAGGUGGUGGUUUAAGUCCGUUGUGAAAGCCCUGGGCUCAACCUGGGAAUUGCAGUGGAUACUGGGUCACUAGAGUGUGGUAGAGGAUAGUGGAAUUUCCGGUGUAGCAGUGAAAUGCGUAGAGAUCGGAAGGAACAUCUGUGGCGAAGGCGACUAUCUGGGCCAACACUGACACUGAGGCACGAAAGCGUGGGGAGCAAACAGGAUUAGAUACCCGCGUAGUCCCUGUCUCUUAUAC
RNAcentral lists this ribosomal RNA (301 nucleotides) under uncultured bacterium. RNAcentral describes it as "partial 16S ribosomal RNA". It matches the Rfam family "Bacterial small subunit ribosomal RNA", at positions 509 to 807 of the family's 1533-position model. The record is from RNAcentral.